GUUUCUGUAGAAAAGAUAGAUGGUUGGCAUCUCCCUAACAGGGAUGGGAACAUCUUUCGGGCUUUACCUGGUAUGAUACCUGUCACAUCUAGUUAAGGUUACCCACUUCGGUAGAUCUUACCCUAUUUUAU
Molecule: small nuclear RNA, 131 nt
Organism: Solanum dulcamara
Lineage: Eukaryota; Viridiplantae; Streptophyta; Magnoliopsida; Solanales; Solanaceae
Source: RefSeq, a predicted model, not a curated record